Molecule: ribosomal RNA, 1274 nt
Filed under: Vibrio vulnificus
Lineage: Bacteria; Pseudomonadati; Pseudomonadota; Gammaproteobacteria; Vibrionales; Vibrionaceae
Description: partial 23S ribosomal RNA
Rfam family: Bacterial large subunit ribosomal RNA
Source: RNAcentral
GCUGAGACACGACGUCGAGCUACUACGGUAGUGAAGUCAUUGAUGCCAUGCUUCCAGGAAAAGCCUCUAAGCUUCAGAUUGUAAGGAAUCGUACCCCAAACCGACACAGGUGGUCGGGUAGAGAAUACCAAGGCGCUUGAGAGAACUCGGGUGAAGGAACUAGGCAAAAUGGUACCGUAACUUCGGGAGAAGGUACGCUCUUGAUGGUGAAGUCCCUUGCGGAUGGAGCUGACGAGAGUCGCAGAUACCAGGUGGCUGCAACUGUUUAUUAAAAACACAGCACUGUGCAAAAUCGUAAGAUGACGUAUACGGUGUGACGCCUGCCCGGUGCCGGAAGGUUAAUUGAUGGGGUUAGCGUAAGCGAAGCUCUUGAUCGAAGCCCCGGUAAACGGCGGCCGUAACUAUAACGGUCCUAAGGUAGCGAAAUUCCUUGUCGGGUAAGUUCCGACCUGCACGAAUGGCGUAAUGAUGGCCACGCUGUCUCCACCCGAGACUCAGUGAAAUUGAAAUCGCUGUGAAGAUGCAGUGUACCCGCGGCUAGACGGAAAGACCCCGUGAACCUUUACUACAGCUUGGCACUGAACAUUGAACCUACAUGUGUAGGAUAGGUGGGAGGCUUUGAAGACGUGACGCCAGUUGCGUUGGAGCCGUCCUUGAAAUACCACCCUUGUAUGUUUGAUGUUCUAACGUUGGCCCCUAAUCGGGGUUGCGGACAGUGCCUGGUGGGUAGUUUGACUGGGGCGGUCUCCUCCCAAAGAGUAACGGAGGAGCACGAAGGUGGGCUAAUCACGGUUGGACAUCGUGAGGUUAGUGCAAUGGCAUAAGCCCGCUUAACUGCGAGAAUGACGGUUCGAGCAGGUGCGAAAGCAGGUCAUAGUGAUCCGGUGGUUCUGAAUGGAAGGGCCAUCGCUCAACGGAUAAAAGGUACUCCGGGGAUAACAGGCUGAUACCGCCCAAGAGUUCAUAUCGACGGCGGUGUUUGGCACCUCGAUGUCGGCUCAUCACAUCCUGGGGCUGAAGUCGGUCCCAAGGGUAUGGCUGUUCGCCAUUUAAAGUGGUACGCGAGCUGGGUUUAGAACGUCGUGAGACAGUUCGGUCCCUAUCUGCCGUGGGCGUUGGAAGAUUGAAGGGGGCUGCUCCUAGUACGAGAGGACCGGAGUGGACGAACCUCUGGUGUUCGGGUUGUGUCGCCAGACGCAUUGCCCGGUAGCUAAGUUCGGAAUCGAUAACCGCUGAAAGCAUCUAAGCGGGAAGCGAGCCCUGAGAUGAGUCUU